This 253-nucleotide ribosomal RNA is filed under the name uncultured bacterium. RNAcentral describes it as "partial 16S ribosomal RNA". It matches the Rfam family "Bacterial small subunit ribosomal RNA", at positions 524 to 776 of the family's 1533-position model. The record is from RNAcentral.
UACGUAGGGUGCGAGCGUUGUCCGGAAUUAUUGGGCGUAAAGGGCUCGUAGGCGGUCUGUCGCGUCGGGAGUGAAAACUCAGGGCUUAACCCUGAGCCUGCUUCCGAUACGGGCAGACUAGAGUGAUGUAGGGGAGACUGGAAUUCCUGGUGUAGCGGUGAAAUGCGCAGAUAUCAGGAGGAACACCGAUGGCGAAGGCAGGUCUCUGGGCAUUAACUGACGCUGAGGAGCGAAAGCAUGGGGAGCGAACAGG